UUUAACUGAAUAUAAUGGAGAAGGCUUGCUCCUUAGAAAUAACAUUUCUUAUUGCUGCAGUUAGAAAAACAAUGUCCCUUUAUUAUAUAUUUUUUUCUUGACCCUACAGGAUGCCCAAUGGUAACCAGCCUACCAUGUGGCUCAACAGAUGCCAGUGUACCCGAAUACUGAGACAUAAUUGGAUGUUCUUUUCUUCUGCUUUUAAGAUUCCCAGUUUGGGAUAAUGUGCAGUUCAUGUUAGAUUUGCUAUUUCUACAGUUACAGUGAAGUAGAAGAGUCCAGUCGUGUUAUGGGGCAGCAGUUAAAGAAGAAGGAUGGAGAGAUGUGUGCCAUGUUGAAGUAGCGGCUGGUCCUCCUGCCCGCUCUUCUAGAAUCCUCCAUCUAAACCUCUGCUGUGAUCUGCUGUGCCUUUGCCAAGUGAUCACGAGUUUAUUGCAAUGGUGCCCCCCACCCCGCAUCUCCACCAUCUGUUACAUCAAGUUCAACUACCUGUGAUGCUGGAGAGAACAAAAGUUCACAAGAUGUCCUAAAAUGGAAUUGUGAUUGGACUGAGACAGCCACAAUUAUGUGUGCUGGGAUGUGCAGAGAGGGCUGUGUGGGCUUUGGCUUGAGACCCCCAGAGGUUUAUUAUCUCCAGUAUCCUUGAAGGCUGCAAGUUUGUCUUUGUCCACAGCCAUUUGACCAGGCAGUGUAUUUAUUACUACCGACAAGGACCCCUCCAUUUGCUUCUUAUUUACUUUUAUAAUGCCUUCAAUUUUCUUUGUAACUGUAUGUUUUUGAAGAGCAAGUUGAGCUACACUUGUAAGCAAAGGUGAUAUAGAAAUAUUAUUAGUGAACAAAUGUUAAUGGACAGGUCAGGAAAAAUGUCAGUUUAAACAGAACACAUUUUUAAUGGAAUAUUGCUGGAU
Long non-coding RNA from Erpetoichthys calabaricus (reedfish), 908 nucleotides. RefSeq lists it as uncharacterized. Lineage: Eukaryota; Metazoa; Chordata; Cladistia; Polypteriformes; Polypteridae. The record is from RefSeq and is a predicted model, not a curated record. The transcript has 3 exons.